CACAAACACACAAACACUCCCUCACACUCUCCUACCGGUGCCACUUCAUGCUAUCAUCUCCACCAUCAUUUUUCCGGCAAUGUCACCGGAAAAGCCUUAGGAACCUCUAAGCAUCUUCAUCCCUUUUAUUUGAGGUUUUAACUAAUCUCUUUUGGAGCUUGGAGAAUUAGGCUUUUUGCGGGUUGCAAGUCUUUGUGACAAUGGAAUCAGAUCUAGGUCAAUGCCCUUUUACUUUGGAUGACGGGUUCUUCCCUGCUUUCCAUGGGACGAAAAGGUUCCUUGAUUGUGUAUGGGUGAUGCUGCUGCCCAUGGAGCCAAAAGACCACAUGCAAAAGAGGUCCUAUUUGACGCGUUCUCCCUGCUGCCCAUGGGGUAAGAGACAAAACCUUAAGGGUAUGAGUGAGGCUAUUGCCUAUAGGGUCAAGAGACUACAUACUAGGGAGGACAAUAUCAUGCCAGUUGUGAAUGGGUGGAUCCUCUGAUCGGUCUAUGUGGUAGUGUGGUAUAUUUGUGAUAAAUUACCAUAUGUUAGAUUUUAUGGCUUUGGAAUUAUAUUGUUAGUGCUCACAAAUUAUAGUAUAUAAUUUCAAGGUAUUUACUUUAAGAAACUUUAUGUUCCAUUAUUUAAUCAUUCUUGUCAUACUA
Long non-coding RNA from Quercus robur (English oak), 645 nucleotides. RefSeq lists it as uncharacterized. The transcript is spliced from 3 exons. The record is from RefSeq and is a predicted model, not a curated record. NCBI's taxonomy places the organism in Eukaryota, Viridiplantae, Streptophyta, Magnoliopsida, Fagales, Fagaceae.